RNAcentral lists this ribosomal RNA (1009 nucleotides) under Bacillus tequilensis. RNAcentral's name for it is "bacterial SSU rRNA". It matches the Rfam family "Bacterial small subunit ribosomal RNA", at positions 35 to 1009 of the family's 1533-position model. Lineage: Bacteria; Bacillati; Bacillota; Bacilli; Caryophanales; Bacillaceae. The record is from RNAcentral.
GCGGAGGGGGCAUGCUAUCAUGCAGUCGAGCGGAGAGAUGAGAGCUUGCUCCCUGAUGUUAGCGGCGGACGGGUGAGUAACACGUGGGUAACCUGCCUGUAAGACUGGGAUAACUCCGGGAAACCGGGGCUAAUACCGGAUGGUUGUUUGAACCGCAUGGUUCAAACAUAAAAGGUGGCUUCGGCUACCACUUACAGAUGGACCCGCGGCUCAUUAGCUAGUUGGUGAGGUAAGGGCUCACCAAGGCAACGAUGCGUAGCCGACCUGAGAGGGUGAUCGGCCACACUGGGACUGAGACACGGCCCAGACUCCUACGGGAGGAAUCUUUAGGGAAUCUUCCACAUUGGACGAAAGUCUGACGGAGCAACGCCGCGUGAGUGAUGAAGGUUUUCUGAUCGUAAAGCUCUGUUGUUAGGGAAGAACAAGUACCGUUCGAAUAUGGCGGUACCUUGACGGUACCUAACCAGAAAGCCCCGGCUAACUACGUGCCAACAGCCGCGGUGAUACGUAGGUGGCAAGCUUUGUCCGGGAUUAUUGGGCGUAAAGGGCUCGCAGGCUGUUUCUUAAAUCUGAUGUGAAAGCCCCCGGCUCAACCGGGGAGGGUCAUUGAAAACUGGGGAACUUGAGUGCAGAAAAGGAGAGUGGAAUUCCACGUGUAGCGGUGAAAUGCAAAAAUAUGUGAAGGAACACCAGUUGUCAAAGGCGACUCUCUGGUCUGUAACUGACACUCAUGAGCGAAAACCUGGGGGAGCCAACCGGGUGUAAAUACCCUGGGUAGUCCACCCCGUAACGAUGAGUGGCUAAGUGUUAGGGGGUUUCCCCCCCCUUAGUGCUGCAGCUAACGCAUUAAGCACUCCUCCCUGGGGGAGUACGGGGCGCGAGAGUUGAAACUCAAGGAAUUGACAGGCGCGCCGCACAGCUGGUGGUACAUGUGGUGUGAUAUACAAAGCCACCACCCAAGAACCUUUACCAGGGGGCUUGAGCAAUCCCUGAAUACACACCCAUAGCU